UUUGAUCAUGGCUCAGGACGAACGCUGGCGGCGUGCCUAAUACAUGCAAGUCGAACGCGUCUCCGUUAAUGAUUUUAGGUGCUUGCACUUGAAAGAUUUAACAUUGAGACGAGUGGCGAACUGGUGAGUAACACGUGGGUAACCUGCCCUUGAAGUAGGGGAUAACACUUGGAAACAGGUGCUAAUACCGUAUAACAACCAAAACCACCUGGUUUUGGUUUAAAAGACGGCUUCGGCUGUCACUUUAGGAUGGACCCGCGGCGUAUUAGCUUGUUGGUAAGGUAACGGCUUACCAAGGCGAUGAUACGUAGCCGACCUGAGAGGGUAAUCGGCCACAUUGGGACUGAGACACGGCCCAAACUCCUACGGGAGGCAGCAGUAGGGAAUCUUCCACAAUGGACGAAAGUCUGAUGGAGCAACGCCGCGUGAGUGAUGAAGGGUUUCGGCUCGUAAAACUCUGUUGUUGGAGAAGAACAGGUGUCAGAGUAACUGUUGACAUCUUGACGGUAUCCAACCAGAAAGCCACGGCUAACUACGUGCCAGCAGCCGCGGUAAUACGUAGGUGGCAAGCGUUGUCCGGAUUUAUUGGGCGUAAAGCGAGCGCAGGCGGUUUUUUAGGUCUGAUGUGAAAGCCUUCGGCUUAACCGGAGAAGUGCAUCGGAAACCGGGAGACUUGAGUGCAGAAGAGGACAGUGGAACUCCAUGUGUAGCGGUGAAAUGCGUAGAUAUAUGGAAGAACACCAGUGGCGAAGGCGGCUGUCUGGUCUGUAACUGACGCUGAG
RNAcentral lists this ribosomal RNA (782 nucleotides) under Lentilactobacillus buchneri. RNAcentral describes it as "bacterial SSU rRNA". It matches the Rfam family "Bacterial small subunit ribosomal RNA", at positions 12 to 750 of the family's 1533-position model. The record is from RNAcentral. Lineage: Bacteria; Bacillati; Bacillota; Bacilli; Lactobacillales; Lactobacillaceae.